This 1518-nucleotide long non-coding RNA is filed under the name Homo sapiens (human). Its description in RNAcentral is "novel transcript". Lineage: Eukaryota; Metazoa; Chordata; Mammalia; Primates; Hominidae. The record is from RNAcentral.
AGAGCUGUCCCUCUCUCGGCUUGCACUAAGGAGGAGGUCACGUGAGCACACAGUGAGAAGGCGGAGGACCAUCUGCAAGCAGGAAGAGAGCCCUCGCUAGAACCCCCCACGGUGGCAUCUGAUAGUGGACUUCUAGCUUCCAGAACUAUUCUUCUUGGACAUCAGCUGACUUAACCAUUGAGGAAAUAAAUGAACAUCUAUUGAGCACCUGUUAUGUGCUGAUGCUUGCUCACUACUUGUUUCAUUUGGCUUUACUGGAUUCUUAUGACAAUUCUUUAAAAUGUGUGUAAUCAUUAAUAUUACCUUCAUUGCAGAACUAAGAAAACUGACUCAGAAUGAGAACUCAUAAAUGUCACAUCAGGCUGCCUCUUGGUGAAUUUUUAAUCAACGGGGAGAAUUUCAGCUACAAAUAGACCAAGAAUCAAGAGGCCCACUAUUGAUCGGUCAAAGUGGCACUUAUGAACCUGAGGUUGAAGCAGUUUGGAUAAAAGGAUUCUGGGCUUUCGAUGGCCCCAGAGACAUCUUUUUCCAUCAAGUCCAGGAGAGGAGAGCCUGACGUUUCAAGAACUCAAGGUUCAGUACUAGGUCUUAGAGGAAGACUUCAUUUUAGCUUUGAUGCUCUCCGCUAGGCACAGAGAAACUUAAGCAGAAUGACAAGACCUGCUGUUUGAGUAACUCACGUUCUGACCAGAGAGACAGACAUGUCAGCAAGAGGUUACAAUACAGUGUGCUCAGAUUCUCCGGGACUUGGAGCACUUGUUCCAGAAAGGAAGGCCAGGGAAGUCUUCCAGGAGUAGAUGGCGCCUCUGCUGACCUGAAGGGUGAGGAAAAAGUGUCCAGUUGCAGAAGGUGCAACUGCCUAUAGAACAGCUGCCGCGGCCCACUGAAAGCUUCAAGCCGAGACCUGAGGUGCAUGAACCCUCCUUCUGAUAAGCUUCAGAGCAGAAAUGAUGCAACUGAGUCACAGAGAAGUUAAGUAAUCUGCCUGCCGACACUCGGGUCGAUGCCGCCUCAUUCCAUCACUCGGGCAAUGGAGCCAAAGGCCACGUUCACAACCACUAGGCUGUCCCAGCCCCUUGGUAUGAUUUGUCCCUUCCUAAGCUUCAAAGAUAGCCAGGCAGGAGUUAUUUUAUAGAAUGGAAGUAAUUUCUACGGGGCCAAGCAAUAAUAAGGAAAUUGGAAGUCAAGGACUAUCUUCCGAAUGGAGAAGAAGCUCCAUCAACCACAGAAGGAAAUUAUGAUCACUCCUGCCAUCCUGCUCCUUUGUGUAUCCAGGAUGAAGGGGAGAAUUGGAGUCUUGCACAAUGAAAGGACAACAUUGCUGCCAAAACAAUCCAUCGUGACUGUAGACAUAUUUUCCACCCUCAUCCUGCAGGUUUUCUGCCAGUUGUUGGCCCCUCACCAAUUUUGCUCCUGGGCAGUCUGAGGUGGAACAUAAUUUUGUAUAAAACAAAUUAUGCUCAACCUCACUUAUAAUCAGGGAAAUGUGAGUCAAAACCACAAUAAAAUAUCACCUCA